Non-coding RNA from Amborella trichopoda, 231 nucleotides. The record is from RefSeq and is a predicted model, not a curated record. NCBI's taxonomy places the organism in Eukaryota, Viridiplantae, Streptophyta, Magnoliopsida, Amborellales, Amborellaceae.
AGAGAAACUAGAUUAUGCUUCUAAAUUCGUCUCCUCUGGAAAGUAUUCUGAAGCUUGCAAUUUGUAUAGGAUCAUUGAUCAACAACAAAUGGAACUAUACCAUCCACUCUCAAUUGGUUUGAUGCGAACUCGGGAGACCCUUGUAAUGAUACUGAUGGAGCUAAAGGACUGCGAAGAAGCAUUAAGAUAUUGCCAAUUAACUAUUCUUGUUUACCAAAGGGCAUAUCCAGG